This 496-nucleotide ribosomal RNA is filed under the name uncultured bacterium. RNAcentral's name for it is "partial 16S ribosomal RNA". It matches the Rfam family "Bacterial small subunit ribosomal RNA", at positions 28 to 506 of the family's 1533-position model. The record is from RNAcentral.
GAUGAACGCUGGCGGCGUGCCUAAUACAUGCAAGUCGAGCGAACGGACGAGAAGCUUGCUUCUCUGAUGUUAGCGGCGGACGGGUGAGUAACACGUGGAUAACCUACCUAUAAGACUGGGAUAACUUCGGGAAACCGGAGCUAAUACCGGAUAAUAUUUUGAACCGCAUGGUUCAAAAGUGAAAGACGGUCUUGUUGUCACUUAUAGAUGGAUCCGCGCUGCAUUAGCUAGUUGGUAAGGUAACGGCUUACCAAGGCAACGAUGCAUAGCCGACCUGAGAGGGUGAUCGGCCACACUGGAACUGAGACACGGUCCAGACUCCUACGGGAGGCAGCAGCAGGGAAUCUUCCGCAAUGGGCGAAAGCCUGACGGAGCAACGCCGCGUGAGUGAUGAAGGUCUUCGGAUCGUAAAACUCUGUUAUUAGGGAAGAACAUAUGUGUAAGUAACUGUGCACAUCUUGACGGUACCUAAUCAGAAAGCCACGGCUAACUACGU